UCCCCUGUAGCUCAACCGGUAGAGCAGGUCGCUGUUAACGACAAGGUUCGUGGUUCGAGUCCACGCGGGGGAG
This 73-nucleotide transfer RNA is filed under the name Candidatus Roizmanbacteria bacterium. RNAcentral's name for it is "tRNA-Asn". It matches the Rfam family "tRNA". Rfam says of the family: Transfer RNA (tRNA) molecules are approximately 80 nucleotides in length. Their secondary structure includes four short double-helical elements and three loops (D, anti-codon, and T loops). Further hydrogen bonds mediate the characteristic L-shaped molecular structure. tRNAs have two regions of fundamental functional importance: the anti-codon, which is responsible for specific mRNA codon recognition, and the 3' end, to which the tRNAs corresponding amino acid is attached (by aminoacyl-tRNA synthetases). tRNAs cope with the degeneracy of the genetic code in two manners: having more than one tRNA (with a specific anti-codon) for a particular amino acid; and 'wobble' base-pairing, i.e. permitting non-standard base-pairing at the 3rd anti-codon position. Lineage: Bacteria; Candidatus Roizmaniibacteriota. The record is from RNAcentral.